UCCAGGGUAGCCUAGUGGACAUGGUGUACGCUCCAGGAACCUGGGUUACUUAAAUAAAUAAAAAAAAUAGUGGACAUGGCAUAUGCCCGGUAAGCGGAACAGUGUGGGUUUGAUUCCCAUCCCUGGAC
Cordylochernes scorpioides is the source of this 128-nucleotide non-coding RNA. The record is from the annotation of a GenBank genome assembly. Lineage: Eukaryota; Metazoa; Arthropoda; Arachnida; Pseudoscorpiones; Chernetidae.